AGUGGGGGAUAACGUAGCGAAAGUUACGCUAAUACCGCAUAUGCCCUGAGGGGGAAAGGGGAGGAUCGCAAGACUUCUCGCUUUCGGAGUGGCCGAUAUCGGAUUAGCUAGUUGGUGGGGUAAAGGCCUACCAAGGCGACGAUCCGUAGCUGGUCUGAGAGGACGACCAGCCACACUGGGACUGAGACACGGCCCAGACUCCUACGGGAGGCAGCAGUGGGGAAUUUUGGACAAUGGGGGCAACCCUGAUCCAGCCAUGCCGCGUGAGUGAAGAAGGCCUUCGGGUUGUAAAGCUCUUUCGGACGGGAAGAAACGGUUACGGCUAAUACCCGUGACUAAUGACGGUACCGUAAGAAGAAGCACCGGCUAACUACGUGCCAGCAGCCGCGGUAAUACGUAGGGUGCGAGCGUUAAUCGGAAUUACUGGGCGUAAAGCGUGCGCAGGCGGUUUUGUAAGACAGGCGUGAAAUCCCCGGGCUUAACCUGGGAACUGCGUUUGUGACUGCAAGGCUAGAGUGUGGCAGAGGGGGGUAGAAUUCCG
Molecule: ribosomal RNA, 541 nt
Filed under: uncultured Gallionellaceae bacterium
Lineage: Bacteria; Pseudomonadati; Pseudomonadota; Betaproteobacteria; Nitrosomonadales; Gallionellaceae
Description: bacterial SSU rRNA
Rfam family: Bacterial small subunit ribosomal RNA
Source: RNAcentral